GUUACAUUUGUACAUAAUAUAAGUAAACAUUGUAAGUCAAGAAAGCCUGUAAAAUGGGAAUCAUUUUACGUAUUAUUAAGUUCAUUAACGAAAAACAUAUCGAAACUUUUUUAAAGAAUCACCAAAUGUUGGCUCAGUGACAAUAAUCCUGUUUACUCCCCCAUGGAUGGAUAUACACCAUUCCGUCGUCGUUUAGGGAGUGAGUUAGUAUGAUGGCUGUUUUGUUAUAUUUUUUAUUUUUCCAAUCGUCCUCGAGUCAUGGCUAUGUGAUUAAACCGGGGCCCCUGUACCCCCCUACAGAGGGAUAUGUGUGGCCACAACCCCAAUAUGAAAAUAAGCAAAUGGAUUAUUUUACAUUUAAUCCAGCACAGUUUAAUGUAACAGUAACAAAUCACACUUGCGACAUCCUUAAAAAUGCCUUGGAGCGUUACUACAACAUCUGGAAGAAAAUGCACUCCACAGCUAAAGAAAACAAUAAGUGGGCCAAGCGAAAGAAAAGGCCCAAAGGCGACACGUACCAAGGCGAUGCCACGCAGCUGAGCGUGGUCCUG
Molecule: long non-coding RNA, 551 nt
Organism: Manduca sexta (tobacco hornworm)
Lineage: Eukaryota; Metazoa; Arthropoda; Insecta; Lepidoptera; Sphingidae
Exons: 3
Source: RefSeq, a predicted model, not a curated record